RNAcentral lists this ribosomal RNA (492 nucleotides) under uncultured bacterium. RNAcentral's name for it is "partial 16S ribosomal RNA". It matches the Rfam family "Bacterial small subunit ribosomal RNA", at positions 29 to 507 of the family's 1533-position model. The record is from RNAcentral.
AGUGAACGCUGGCGGUAGGCCUAACACAUGCAAGUCGAACGGCAGCACAGUAAGAGCUUGCUCUUACGGGUGGCGAGUGGCGGACGGGUGAGGAAUACAUCGGAAUCUACUUUUUCGUGGGGGAUAACGUAGGGAAACUUACGCUAAUACCGCAUACGACCUACGGUUGAAAGCAGGGGAUCUUCGGACCUUGCGCGAUUGAAUGAGCCGAUGUCGGAUUAGCUAGUUGGCGGGGUAAAGGCCAACCAAGGCGACGAUCCGUAGCUGGUCUGAGAGGAUGAUCAGCCACACUGGAACUGAGACACGGUCCAGACUCCUACGGGAGGCAGCAGUGUGGAAUAUUGGACAAUGGGCGCAAGCCUGAUCCAGCCAUACCGCGUGGGUGAAGAAGGCCUUCGGGUUGUAAAGCCCUUUUGUUGGGAAAGAAAAGCAGCAGGUUAAUACCCCGCUGUUCUGACGGUACCCAAAGAAUAAGCACCGGCUAACUUCGUG